This 1652-nucleotide long non-coding RNA is filed under the name Solanum tuberosum (potato). Its description in RNAcentral is "long non-coding RNA (STUB_LNC002221)". Lineage: Eukaryota; Viridiplantae; Streptophyta; Magnoliopsida; Solanales; Solanaceae. The record is from RNAcentral.
AAGGAAUUCAUACGGAGUAAUCGAGUGGCAAGCUUGGUAACUCAACACAAGUACUGUGAGUAGUAAUCUUACCACAAUUGAUGUUUUAUAACUUGCAUGACUUUCACAUGGUUUAUAAAGCAAAUGUGUUACUGAAUGUUUUAACUUGCAUGUGGGACAAGUCUCUUACUAGACUCAACACAAGUACUGUGAGUAGUAAUCUUACCACAAUUGAUGUUUUAUAACUUGCAUGACUUUCACAUGGUUUAUAUAGCAAAUGUGUUACCGAAUGUUUUAACUUGCAUGUGGGACAAGUCUUUUACUGGAUAUGAUACUGAAAAGAUCAUUUGAGAUGAACUCAUUCUUACAAGAUAUGAUUACUGAUAUUGAAAAGGUUUUACACUUAUUUGAGAAAUAGUAUUUUGACAGGUGAUUGUUAAACUUUGAAAUGUUCUGAUUUGGUAAGAUAUAAAUGUUCUAUCUGAUUUUGAAAUGCUUCUACAGAUUAUAAAAAAAAGUAUAAAUGGGAGUAGACCUUGAUGAAUCCCGUAGCUAACGGCGGGUUCAUUAGACCUGGUGCACCUUGUAGUUCUGAUUACUAGAUUAUAAGAAAAGUAUAAAUGGGAGUAGACCUUGAUGAAUCCCGUAGCUAACGGCGGGUUCGUUAGACCUGGUGCACCUUGUAGUUUUGAUUAUUGAUAAAGCCCUUGCUAGUGGGAAGGUAGAACUAGUAUACUGUUACUGAUAUCCCUCGAGUAGGGAUCUACUGAUAUGAAUAAUUAACUCNNNNNNNNNNNNNNNNNNNNNNNNNNNNNNNNNNNNNNNNNNNNNNNNNNNNNNNNNNNNNNNNNNNNNNNUUAUUGGUUACUUCUUAAGGAGAAGACCACACUGAUUACAUGAUUCAUCCUUGGAAACCUCCCAGCUAUAAGAUUUGAUAUGAAAAUGUUCUUUUUCUGAGUUUGCUAUUAUGUAUUUACAUUGAUUUUGCUUAUAUGAGGCACCUAAGGUUGAAUAUUGUUAUUGUUUCUGAAAGAGCAUUGUUUCAUCAUCAUGACUAUUACACUAGCAUGCUUUCUGACUUGUCCCUCAUUAAAAUGGUUGGGGUUAAGUAUUAUUACUCACUGAGCUAGCGUCUCACUCCUCGCUAUUUGUUUUUUUACAGAGAAUUCAAGUGGUAUUGAAGAGGAUUUCAUUAACUAGCGUGUGAGUUGGUAGCAUCUGGUGAGCCCCGCAUUGCUUCGCGUGGCAAGAGAACUAUUGAUUUGUUAUGUUUAUUUAGUUUCUUUUAAAAACUCUUAGAGUUGCUCCAUUUGUCAUUCUUUUGAUUUGAGUCAAGAUUAGUCCUUCGAAUUGUAGUCAAGUGACUAGUUUGGAACUUUUUUCGUAAUUUGGAGAUGAAUUGGUUUUAUUACGUGACAAUUUGAUCAUUGAUGGAUAUUAUAUGGUGUUUUAUAGUUGAUAUUAGUUGUGUUGUGAAAUUCUGAGACAGGAAAAAUCCAGGAUAGGCCUAAAAACAAAGGAAACUCUGCCCGAUUUUCUGUAGAAUUCUCAAUUUGAUCAUUGAUGGAUAUUAUAUGGUGUUUUAUAGUUGAUAUUAGUUGUGUUGUGAAAUUCUGAGACAGGAAAAAUCCAGGAUAGGCCUAAAAACAAAGGAAACUCUGCUCGAUUUUCUG